GUGUCAGCAGCCGCGGUAAUACGUAGGGGGCAAGCGUUGUCCGGAAUUAUUGGGCGUAAAGGGCGCGUAGGCGGAUAGUUAAGUCCGGUGUGAAAGAUCAGGGCUCAACCCUGAGAGUGCAUCGGAAACUGGUUAUCUUGAGGACAGGAGAGGAAAGUGGAAUUCCACGUGUAGCGGUGAAAUGCGUAGAUAUGUGGAGGAACACCAGUGGCGAAGGCGACUUUCUGGACUGUAACUGACGCUGAGGCGCGAAAGCGUGGGGAGCAAACAGGAUUAGAAACCCCUGUAGUCC
Molecule: ribosomal RNA, 292 nt
Filed under: uncultured bacterium
Lineage: Bacteria
Description: partial 16S ribosomal RNA
Rfam family: Bacterial small subunit ribosomal RNA
Source: RNAcentral